Molecule: transfer RNA, 71 nt
Filed under: Jeotgalibacillus alimentarius
Lineage: Bacteria; Bacillati; Bacillota; Bacilli; Caryophanales; Caryophanaceae
Rfam family: tRNA
About the family: Transfer RNA (tRNA) molecules are approximately 80 nucleotides in length. Their secondary structure includes four short double-helical elements and three loops (D, anti-codon, and T loops). Further hydrogen bonds mediate the characteristic L-shaped molecular structure. tRNAs have two regions of fundamental functional importance: the anti-codon, which is responsible for specific mRNA codon recognition, and the 3' end, to which the tRNAs corresponding amino acid is attached (by aminoacyl-tRNA synthetases). tRNAs cope with the degeneracy of the genetic code in two manners: having more than one tRNA (with a specific anti-codon) for a particular amino acid; and 'wobble' base-pairing, i.e. permitting non-standard base-pairing at the 3rd anti-codon position.
Source: Rfam by way of RNAcentral
GGCGGUAUAGCCAAGUGGUAAGGCACGGGUCUGCAAAACCCUUAUCACCGGUUCGAGUCCGGUUACCGCCU